This is a long non-coding RNA of Cercocebus atys (sooty mangabey), 1341 nucleotides long. RefSeq lists it as uncharacterized. NCBI's taxonomy places the organism in Eukaryota, Metazoa, Chordata, Mammalia, Primates, Cercopithecidae. The record is from RefSeq and is a predicted model, not a curated record. The transcript has 4 exons.
GAUCCACCUGCCUCAGCCUCCUAAAGUGUUGGGAUUACAACGUGAAGCUCUAGUUCCAUAACUUCUGGGAGACAAUGGCCAGUCUCAGACUUAAGGAUUAAGAGAAUUCUCCUAAUGAUUCCAGAAUGGGAUACUAAGAAACACGGACACUGCCAGGGAGGGCGCAGUGGCUCACAUCUGCAGUCCCAGCACUUUGGGAGGCCAAGGCGGGCAGAUCACGAGGUCAGGAGUUCAAGACCAGCCUGGCCAAUAUGGUGAAACCCCAUCUCUACCAAAAAUACAAAAAUUAGCUGGAUGUGGUGGUGCAUGCCUGUAAUCUCAGCUACUCGAGAGGCUGAGGCAGAAGAAUUGCUUGAACCCGGGAAGCAGAGGUUGUAGUGAGGCGACAUUGUACCACUGCACUCCACCCUGGGCGACAAAACGCAACUCCGUCUCAAAAACAAACAAACAAACACGGACACUGUCUGAGCACCCUCAUUCUGCAUUUGAAGAAAUACAGAUACAAUGGCAAAAAGAAAUCGUUCGCUUGGAAUUACAGUAAAGAAUGUGCAAGUGUUGGCAAGCAUAACUUUGAUUAUUAUUUGAUUACAUGAAUUAUGAAAUGCAUGUAGUUUGAAGUUUUAGAGAGACAAAUAAAUACACAGUAUAAUUGGGGGUUCUUAUUAUCAAGGUCCCUCAUCUUUAGCAUCUGAUCGUUUCACAUCUUCUUCCUCAUGAGUCCAUGGCAUAGAGUGUCGCUCUGUCAUUUCCUGGCUCCUGUGGGUUAGAACCCUUUAUGACGUACAUAUCUCUCCAUAGUGGCUCCCUAUGAUGUUUUGAUAAGAAGCUAUUCUGGGACCUUCAGCUUUUCCUCUGUUACUACCUGUUGAGGUGAGAGCAAAGGGGAUAGAGACAGCAAAGGAGGCAAGAAGUGGUCUACUCUCUUUUCCAUCUUUGACCCAAGGAUAAGUACUAACCACAGCAGAGCUUAUAGCUGGCUAUAUAUUAAGGAUAUUUUCCUAAAGACCUGAAGAAAACAAAACAGCAUAACAUUAGAGGCCAGAUAAAUUUUGAACAAGAUAAAGAUUUGAUUUGGGGGCCCUUGGGCUUCAGCUAUAACCUGUCUCUUCUGAGAUGAUGUAAUUAUCCUCCCUCCAGGUGGAGGCAGUUCACCACCGUUCCUCUCGGAUAUAUGUGCCUUUGGAGAAGACCCUUAUUCCAUCACAAAGCACAGGAUGGGAGUAGAAUCCUGGCUCAUCCACUCUAAUGAGUGCUCACAGAACACCAAGCAAUGGCCCGAUUUUUCAUGUAGCAGAAGCACAGCUGCCUUCUCUCUAACCUACACCUCCUCCUCUAUUCCUG